AACACAAUUUGUCAUUUAAAAGGAUUGAUUUUCACUUCACUUUGUUCAGUUUCAGAAGAGCCACUUGCCUGAAGUAAUUUAUAUGGUUUGCAAAAUAUAUUUGAUUUGAAAAUUGAAUAUAAAUAUAAAUCACAACAGUGAUUUGCUUUGGCAACAGUGUCUAAUUCUGGAGAGUCAUAUAAAUACUAUAAUACUAUACUACUGUUUUGUAUAUUAUCAAUUUGUUUUCUUUGCUUAUACUGGCCCGCCUGUUAACGAAUGGAAUGCAGCAUUUAUUUUUUCUUGUACGUGUUUUAUGUGCUUAGUGUGUAUAAUUUUUAGAUCAAAAACUAAUCUGAGGUAAGGUAAGGAAUCUUCCUACUGAGCUCUCGGAGCUUCAGGCGAGUCAUUACCGAUGUGAGUGGCCAAAGCUGGGCACUUGAGAGUUUGGUCACAGUGGAGCCGCUCAAUAACAGCAAACACAUAAUAAAACUUUUCUGGCUUGUGUGUGUAUGUGUUUGUCUACCGGAUGGAAAUGCCGCUGUAAUUUUGCAUACUUUUAAGUGCAAAGAUCCUGUGUUAUGAUAAAGCAGUUUAUGAAUGAUCAACAGUUUGAAGAUAGCGUUAAUCGAAGACAAAGAAGACAAUUAUUUAUUUCAGUUAAUUGAAUACAAAAUGGUUUUAAUUAGAUGAAUUUUAUUAUAUUUAAUUUGAAAUAUAUCGCCCCGUGCGCCUUUGCCGACGUGUUGAUAUGAAA
This is a long non-coding RNA of Ceratitis capitata (Mediterranean fruit fly), 736 nucleotides long. RefSeq lists it as uncharacterized. NCBI's taxonomy places the organism in Eukaryota, Metazoa, Arthropoda, Insecta, Diptera, Tephritidae. The transcript is spliced from 3 exons. The record is from RefSeq and is a predicted model, not a curated record.